UCCACAACUCUACUGAAAAUGAGCUCAUUCCGGUGGUAAAUAUCGACGGCAGAGAUCAGUUCGGAUGGACGAUGAGGAGUAACCAGAGAAGUAGCGGAAGCUUGAUCGAUGGUGAGGAGAGGAAAGGCGGCAGAGAAGAAGGAACGAGGACCGUUGGGAAAAGUAGAAAUGACUUGGCGCAACCGCGGCAUCUCGGUGGACGGCCAAGUAGAGCGACAAAUGUUGGUCCACAAAUCAUCUUGAGAAGCGAGGGAGUUGAGUUCCGUGGAGGAACAAGAGGAGGAGGCGAGGGAGGGUCCGUCGAGAAGUGUUAGGACAUGCGUUUGGAGAAUGUCUGGAUGGACGGCGGAGAUAGAUGAAGAGCAGCCGCCUUGGUGGACAGUGGCUGUUUCAGCGGUGGAAGGAAAUGGCGAGGGUGUUAGUUUUUCAAAGGAAAAAGCCAUUUAAUUGGUUCUUGUCUGAAGAGAAAAGAAAGGUGUUAGAUUGUGUGGG
This 492-nucleotide unclassified non-coding RNA is filed under the name Hevea brasiliensis (rubber tree). The record is from RNAcentral. Lineage: Eukaryota; Viridiplantae; Streptophyta; Magnoliopsida; Malpighiales; Euphorbiaceae.